This 360-nucleotide unclassified non-coding RNA is filed under the name Hevea brasiliensis (rubber tree). Lineage: Eukaryota; Viridiplantae; Streptophyta; Magnoliopsida; Malpighiales; Euphorbiaceae. The record is from RNAcentral.
GAGUGAAAUUCAUAAAAAUCACUUCAAAGCUUAACUUUGAGGCUUAAUCUAGGAUUGCAUUCAACUGUAGAUUGCAUUCCAUUACAAAAGCAAGUGGUUGACAGUAGGCUAUGCAAUUCAUAAACAAGUUGCAAAACAGGAAAGCUAAAACAAACAAGCAAAAGCAUAGGUUAAACAACAAAAAUCAAAACGAGCAAAAUAUAAAACCUAAAGAUAAAGGAAGGGCAAGGCUUCCCAUAUCUCAUACCUUCUAUUCCUAAAUAAAUAAGCUACCUACAACUACAACCAGGCAAAAUAGCAGCAUCGAUCUACCUCAUUGCAGUUCCAAUACAAUGUAUGAAACAGAAAAUUAUCCAAAAA